Molecule: ribosomal RNA, 254 nt
Filed under: uncultured bacterium
Lineage: Bacteria
Description: partial 16S ribosomal RNA
Rfam family: Bacterial small subunit ribosomal RNA
Source: RNAcentral
GACAGAGGGUGCAAACGUUGUUCGGAAUUACUGGGCGUAAAGCGUGCGCAGGCGGUUAUUUAAGUCAGGUGUGAAAGCCCUGGGCUUAACCUAGGAAUUGCGCUUGAGACUGGAUAGCUUGGAGUGCGGCAGAGGGAGGUGGAAUUCCACGUGUAGCAGUGAAAUGCGUAGAGAUGUGGAGGAACACCGAUGGCGAAGGCAGCCUCCUGGGCCAGCACUGACGCUCAUGCACGAAAGCGUGGGGAGCAAACAGG